This 64-nucleotide ribosomal RNA is filed under the name Azoarcus sp. Its description in RNAcentral is "partial 16S ribosomal RNA". It matches the Rfam family "Bacterial small subunit ribosomal RNA", at positions 1 to 64 of the family's 1533-position model. The record is from RNAcentral. Lineage: Bacteria; Pseudomonadati; Pseudomonadota; Betaproteobacteria; Rhodocyclales; Zoogloeaceae.
GAACGUAAGAGUUUGAUCCUGGCUCAGAUUGAACGCUGGCGGCAUGCUUUACACAUGCAAGUCG